This 153-nucleotide ribosomal RNA is filed under the name Vibrio parahaemolyticus. RNAcentral's name for it is "partial 16S ribosomal RNA". It matches the Rfam family "Bacterial small subunit ribosomal RNA", at positions 1 to 133 of the family's 1533-position model. Lineage: Bacteria; Pseudomonadati; Pseudomonadota; Gammaproteobacteria; Vibrionales; Vibrionaceae. The record is from RNAcentral.
CUUAAAUUGAAGAGUUUGAUCAUGGCUCAGAUUGAACGCUGGCGGCAGGCCUAACACAUGCAAGUCGAGCGGAAACGAGUUGUCUGAACCUUCGGGGAACGAUAACGGCGUCGAGCGGCGGACGGGUGAGUAAUGCCUAGGAAAUUGCCCUGA